GAAUUUCUGGGUCAAUUUAGAAGAAGUAAAAAAUCGUAACAAGAGUGUCUGUAGUGAAACCUGCGGAAAGGAUCGAUAUUGAAUGUAAACGGAGUUGGGAUGUUGCUGGGCCUUUUUCAAUAAGGCAAGUGCAGCCUUCUCUAUUCAUCCACACACACCAGUCCAAUGUGAGACGGAUAGCCCUCUCGAGGGUUGUCCAUCUGCUAUACAUAAACGCCAGUAUGUAAAAAUUGAAAUGUAAGUGAGGUAACGCAUCUAUAAACUAAGUUUCAACAACGGAUAUCUGGCUCUAGCACCGAUGAAGAACGCAGCGAAAUGCGAUAAGUAAUGUGAAUUGCAGAAUUCAGGAAUCAUCGAAUCCAUGAACGCACCUUGCGCUCCUUAGUAUUCCUCGGAGCAUGCAUGUUGGAGUAUCAUGAGAUGUUCAAAAUAAAUCUCUUGUUCAUUCGAUCGAUUUUAUUUUGGACCUGGAGGUAUGCAGAGUCACGUCUGCUCCUCACAAACAAAUUAGCUAGAUCCCAGUGAACUCAGUUCCACUCGGCGUGAUAAGUGUCACUCAAUGAGGACACAUAAAAGGUGACCGGGGUUGCAGAUGAACCGCUUGUAAUAGUCUAUUCACUUAGACAAAUUUGAAUAUGAUAAAUCUCAAAUCAGGUAGGACAACCCCCGACUUUAAACACUCAAUAAGCGGAGGA
RNAcentral lists this ribosomal RNA (695 nucleotides) under uncultured fungus. RNAcentral's name for it is "eukaryotic LSU rRNA". The stretch from base 265 to 416 matches the Rfam family "5.8S ribosomal RNA". Lineage: Eukaryota; Fungi. The record is from RNAcentral.